UAUAGCAUUAUACCGUGAAACUGCGAAUGGCUCAUUAAAUCAGUUAUCGUUUAUUUGAUAGUACCUUACUACUUGGAUAACCGUGGUAAUUCUAGAGCUAAUACAUGCUGAAAACCCCGACUUCGGAAGGGGUGUAUUUAUUAGAUAAAAAACCAAUGCCCUUCGGGGCUCCUUGGUGAUUCAUAAUAACUUCUCAGAUCGCAUGGCCUUGCGCCGGCGACGGUUCAUUCAAAUUUCUGCCCUAUCAACUUUCGAUGGUAAGGUAUUGGCUUACCAUGGUUUCAACGGGUAACGGGGAAUUAGGGUUCGAUUCCGGAGAGGGAGCCUGAGAAACGGCUACCACAUCCAAGGAAGGCAGCAGGCGCGCAAAUUACCCAAUCCCGACACGGGGAGGUAGUGACAAUAAAUACUGAUACAGGGCUCUUUUGGGUCUUGUAAUUGGAAUGAGUACAAUUUAAACCUCUUAACGAGGAACAAUUGGAGGGCAAGUCUGGUGCCAGCAGCCGCGGUAAUUCCAGCUCCAAUAGCGUAUAUUAAAGUUGUUGCAGUUAAAAAGCUCGUAGUUGAACCUUUGGCCUGGCUGGCAGGUCCGCCUCACCGCGUGCACUUGUCCGGCCGGGCCUUUUCUUCUGGAGAACCGCAUGCCCUUCACUGGGUGUGUUGGGGACCAGGACUUUUACUUUGAAAAAAUUAGAGUGUUCAAAGCAGGCCUUUGCUCGAAUACGUUAGCAUGGAAUAAUAGAAUAGGACGUGCGGUCCUAUUUUGUUGGUUUCUAGGACCGCCGUAAUGAUUAAUAGGG
RNAcentral lists this ribosomal RNA (800 nucleotides) under Keissleriella italicum. RNAcentral's name for it is "SSU rRNA". It matches the Rfam family "Eukaryotic small subunit ribosomal RNA", at positions 68 to 877 of the family's 1831-position model. Lineage: Eukaryota; Fungi; Ascomycota; Dothideomycetes; Pleosporales; Lentitheciaceae. The record is from RNAcentral.